UCCCCGUUACCGGGGCAGUCUGAUUAGAAAAAUUCAACUAAUCACAAGGGUUGCGCUCGUUGAUGGACUUAACCAAACAUCUCACGACACGAGCUGACGACGGCCAUGCAACACCUGUCACUUGGCUCAAUAAAGCACUCUCUCCUUUCGGAAAAAUUCCAAGGAUGUCAAACCCUGGUAAGGUUCUUCGCUUACCAUCGAAUUAAAGAACACGCUCCACCGCUUGUGCGGGUCCCCGUCAAUUCCUUUAUGUUUUAAGCUUGCGCUCGUACUCCACAGGCGGGAUGCUUAACGCGUUAGCUUCGCUACAAGAGGGGUCGAUACCUCUCACAGCUAGCAUCCAUCGUUUACGGCGUGGACUAA
Molecule: unclassified non-coding RNA, 363 nt
Filed under: uncultured bacterium
Lineage: Bacteria
Description: contains 16S-23S intergenic spacer region
Source: RNAcentral